RNAcentral lists this ribosomal RNA (459 nucleotides) under uncultured eukaryote. Its description in RNAcentral is "bacterial SSU rRNA". It matches the Rfam family "Eukaryotic small subunit ribosomal RNA", at positions 637 to 1118 of the family's 1831-position model. The record is from RNAcentral.
GAUUUCUGGCAGGGUGACUCUGCCCUCUUGAUGAGUGCGCCCCUUUUGCCCUACCAUCCUUCUGUUAACCCUUUAGGCCUUAAAAAGUCUUUUGGGGGCUCAGAUAUUUUACCUUGAGAAAAUUAGAGUGUUUCAGGCAGGCUAGCGCCGGAAUACAUUAGCAUGGAAUAAUAGAAUAGGACUUUUACCUCUUCUGUUGGUCUGAGGGGUUCAAGUAAUGAUUAAUAGGGAUAGUUGGGGGCAUUAGUACUUUACUGUCAGAGGUGAAAUUCUCGGAUUUGUAAAAGACUAACUUAUGCGAAACAUUUGCCAAGGAUGUUUUCAUUAUUCAAGAACGAAGUUAGGGGUUAAAUACGAUCAGAUACCGUAGUAGUCUUAACAAUAAAUAUGCCGACUCGGGAUCGGGGGGAGAGUAUCCGCCUUCGGCCCCGUAUGAGAAAUCAAAGCUUUGGUCCUGGG